GACGAACGCUGGCGGCGUGCCUAAUACAUGCAAGUUGAGCGCUGAAGGUUGGUACUUGUUCCUACUGGAUGAGCAGCGAACGGGUGAGUAACGCGUGGGUAAUCUGCCUUUGAGCGGGGGACAACUUUUGGAAACGAAUGCUAAUACCGCAUAAUAUCUUUAAACACAAGUUUUAAUUUUGAAAGAUGCAAUUGCAUCACUCAAAGAUGAUCCCGCGUUGUAUUAGCUAGUUGGUGAGGUAAAGGCUCACCCAGGCGAUGAUACAUAGCCGAACUGAGAGGGGGGUCGGGCAAAAUGGGAACGAGAAAAGGCCCAAACCUCUAAGGGAGGGAGCAGGAGGGAAACUUCGGGAAAGGAGGAAAGGCCGAACGAGGAAAGCCGCGGGAGGGAAGAAGGGUCUCGGAUCGGAAAAAUCGGGUGGUAGAGAAGAACGUAGGGGGGAGUGGAAAGCGCAUCAAGUGACGGUAACUAACCAGAAAGGGACGGCUAACUACGUG
This 497-nucleotide ribosomal RNA is filed under the name uncultured bacterium. RNAcentral describes it as "partial 16S ribosomal RNA". It matches the Rfam family "Bacterial small subunit ribosomal RNA", at positions 28 to 507 of the family's 1533-position model. The record is from RNAcentral.